AUGAUGAUGUCAGUCUUUCUAUUGCUGGUGACACUGGGGCUCCUUGUACAGGAAUCCAUGGCAGAUAUAAUCCUGACUCAGAGUCCAGCUGCUCAGGCUGUUCAGCAGGGAGACACUGUCUCUAUCAGCUGUACAGCCAGUCAGAGUAUAAGCAGCUACCUCCACUGGUACCUGCAGAAACCUGGUCAGUCUCCUAAACUUUUGAUUUAUGAUUCCACAAAUCGCCAGUCUGGGAUUCCUGAUCGAUUCAGUGGGAGUGGAUUUGGGACUCAGUUAACACUGAAAAUCACUGGAGUCCAGGCUGAAGAUGCAGGAGAUUAUUACUGUCAGCAGCGCCAAAGCUAUCCAUUCACACAGUGAUACAGAGUCAACCCCUAG
Molecule: non-coding RNA, 378 nt
Organism: Conger conger (European conger)
Lineage: Eukaryota; Metazoa; Chordata; Actinopteri; Anguilliformes; Congridae
Source: the annotation of a RefSeq genome assembly